UUUCUAUUGGUCCAAAUUCAAGUUCGUGGAUUGGUCAGUCAUUUCCAUUCUGCUCUCAACUGUGUCCAGUAUAAGAAGGACAUUUAAGAAAAACGUUCACUGAUGCAAAUCAAAACCGCAAUGUGAUACCGCCUUACUCCUGCAAGAAUGGCCAUAAUCAAAAAAUAAAAAAACAGUAGAUGUUGGCAUGGAUGUGGCAAUAAGGGAACGCCUCUACACUGCUGGUGGGAAUGAAAACUAGUACAACCACUAUGGAAAACAGUGUGAAGAUUCCUUAAAGAACUAAAAGUAGAACUACCAUUUGAUCCAGCAAUCCCACUACUGGGUAUCUACCUGGAGGAAACGAAGCCAUUAUUCGAAAAAGAUACUUGCACGUGCAUGUUUAUAGCAGCACAAUUUGCAAUCGCAAAAACGUAGAACCAACCCAAAUGCCCAUCAGUCAAUGAGUGGGUAAAGAAACUGUGGUAUAUAUAUAUGAUGGAAUACUACUCAGCCAUAAAAAGGAAUGAAUUAACAGCAUUUGCAGCGACCUGGAUGAGAUUGGAGACUAUUAUUUUAAGCAAAGUAACUCAGGAACGGAAAACCAAACAUCAUAUGUUCUCACUGAUACGUUGGAGCUAAGCUAUGAGGAUGAAAAGGCAUAAGAAUGAUACAAUGGACUUUGGGGACUUGAGGGGAGGAGUGGGAGGAGGUGAGGGAUAAAAAACUACAAAUAGGGUGCAGUGUAUACUGCUCGGGUGAUGGGUGCACCAAAACCUCACAAAUCACCACUAAAGAACUUACUCAUGUAACCAAACACCACCUGUUCCCUAAUAACCUAUGGAAAUAAAAAAAUUAAAAGAG
This 843-nucleotide long non-coding RNA is filed under the name Homo sapiens (human). Its description in RNAcentral is "HSALNT0148432". The record is from RNAcentral. Lineage: Eukaryota; Metazoa; Chordata; Mammalia; Primates; Hominidae.